Molecule: ribosomal RNA, 162 nt
Filed under: Mammillaria senilis
Lineage: Eukaryota; Viridiplantae; Streptophyta; Magnoliopsida; Caryophyllales; Cactaceae
Description: 5.8S ribosomal RNA
Rfam family: 5.8S ribosomal RNA
About the family: 5.8S ribosomal RNA (5.8S rRNA) is a component of the large subunit of the eukaryotic ribosome.
Source: RNAcentral
AACGACUCUCGGCAACGGAUAUCUCGGCUCUCGCAUCGAUGAAGAACGUAGCGAAAUGCGAUACUUGGUGUGAAUUGCAGAAUCCUGUGAACCAUCAACUCUUUGAACGCAAGUUGCGCCCGAAGCCUUCCGGCCGAGGGCACGUCUGCCUGGGCGUCACGC